ACCUGCCCAUUGAUUAUUUGAAUGGCCGCAGUAAUUUGACUGUGCAAAGGUAGCAUAAUCAUUAGUUUUUUAAUUAAAAGCUUGUAUGAAAGGUUGGACGAGGUAAAAUCUGUCUUUAUUUAAUUUAUUUUAUAAUUUAAUUUUUAAGUUAAAAAGCUUAAAUUUUAGUAAAAGACGAGAAGACCCUAUAGAUCUUUAUAUUAUUAUAAAUGAUUUUAAUUAGGAAUAUUUUAUUUUUUAUUUAUAUUAAUAUUUUAUUGGGGUAAUAAAAAGAUUAAAAAAAUUCUUUUUUUUAUAAAAUAUUAAUUGAUAGUUUUAUGAUCCAAUAAUUUUGAUUAAAAGAUUAAGUUACCUUAGGGAUAACAGCGUAAUUUUUUUAAAGAGUUCAUAUCGAUAAAAAAGUUUGCGACCUCGAUGUUGGAUUAAAAAUUGUUCUAGGUGCAGAAGUUUAGAAAUUUGGUCUGUUCGACCAUUAAAUUUUU
Molecule: ribosomal RNA, 482 nt
Filed under: Copelatus oblitus
Lineage: Eukaryota; Metazoa; Arthropoda; Insecta; Coleoptera; Dytiscidae
Description: partial 16S ribosomal RNA
Rfam family: Bacterial large subunit ribosomal RNA
Source: RNAcentral